Molecule: long non-coding RNA, 404 nt
Organism: Sander lucioperca (pikeperch)
Lineage: Eukaryota; Metazoa; Chordata; Actinopteri; Perciformes; Percidae
Exons: 3
Source: RefSeq, a predicted model, not a curated record
UUAAGGCCACGUCCACAUGUACCAAAACAGUCUUUUUUUUUACCCGUCUUCCCUGGAUUCGUUUCAAAAAUAGUUGCGUCCAAACGAAUCCAUUUGUAAAUGACUCAACGCGCUACUUCAUAUUCCAGGCCUAUAGGUGGCGCUGUUUCUGCUACAGAAAUUCACCAAAAAACGGAGAAGAGCAUAGUCACUUCCACUUCCCAUCAUAACAUGACUAGCUAGACUGUAACGUUCUCUUAAUACAUCCAUGGACUAUAAUAACUUUCACCACUGCUCAUUUUAUAAAGGCUCAUCGCAAGAAAACGUGUCUUUCUUUACAUUGUAUAAUGUGCUGUCAAUUCUGUCUGCCAUCAGACAUGAUUGCAGCGUGCUAGCUAGUAGAGCUAAGGUUAGCUCAGCUAGCU